This 460-nucleotide ribosomal RNA is filed under the name uncultured bacterium. RNAcentral describes it as "partial 16S ribosomal RNA". It matches the Rfam family "Bacterial small subunit ribosomal RNA", at positions 338 to 795 of the family's 1533-position model. The record is from RNAcentral.
CCUACGGUGGGCUGCAGUGAGGAAUAUUGGUCAAUGGACGAGAGUCUGAACCAGCCAAGUAGCGUGAAGGAUGACUGCCCUAUGGGUUGUAAACUUCUUUCAUAUGGGAAUAAAAUGUUCCACGUGUGGGAUUUUGUAUGUACCAUAUGAAUAAGGAUCGGCUAACUCCGGGCCAGCAGCCGCGGUAAUACGGAGGAUCCGAGCGUUAUCCGGAUUUAUUGGGGUUAAAGGGAGCGUAGGUGGAUUGUUAAGUCAGUUGUGAAAGUUUGCGGCUCAACCGUAAAAUUGCAGUUGAAACUGGCAGUCUAGAGUACAGUAGAGGUGGGCGGAAUUCGUGGUGUAGCGGUGAAAUGCUUAGAUAUCACGAAGAACUCCGAUUGCGAAGGCAGUUCACUGGACUGCAACUGACACUGAGGCUCGAAAGUGUGGGUAGCAAACAGGAUUAGAUACCCCUGUAGUC